RNAcentral lists this ribosomal RNA (485 nucleotides) under uncultured bacterium. RNAcentral's name for it is "partial 16S ribosomal RNA". It matches the Rfam family "Bacterial small subunit ribosomal RNA", at positions 28 to 523 of the family's 1533-position model. The record is from RNAcentral.
GACGAACGCUGGCGGCGUGCUUAACACAUGCAAGUCGAACGGGGCUCAUCGCUUCGGUGGUGGGUCUAGUGGCGAACGGGUGAGUAACACGUUGGCAACCUGCCCCCGGCUCUGGGAUAACUCCCAAAAAUUGGGGCUAAUACCGGAUGUGACCUCUGGCCGCAUGGUCUGGUCGUGGAGAGGGUUUCCGGCUGGGGAUCGGCCCGGGGCCUAUCAGCUUUUUGGUGGGGUAGUGGCCUACCAAGGCGACGACGGGUAGCCGGCCUGAGAGGGUGACCGGCCACACUGGGACUGAGACACGGCCCAGACUCCUACGGGAGGCAGCAGUGGGGAAUAUUGCGCAAUGGGCGGAAGCCUGACGCAGCGACGCCGCGUGGGGGAUGACGGCCUUCGGGUUGUAAACCUCUUUCAGCAGGGACGAAGCCGCGAGGUGACGGUACCUGCAGAAGAAGCACCGGCCAACUACGUGCCAGCAGCCGCAGUAA